Molecule: transfer RNA, 92 nt
Filed under: Marasmius sp. AFHP31
Lineage: Eukaryota; Fungi; Basidiomycota; Agaricomycetes; Agaricales; Marasmiaceae
Description: tRNA-His
Rfam family: tRNA
About the family: Transfer RNA (tRNA) molecules are approximately 80 nucleotides in length. Their secondary structure includes four short double-helical elements and three loops (D, anti-codon, and T loops).
Source: RNAcentral
GUCCUGGUCGAUUAGUGGUGAAAUCAUCUCGUUGUGGUUUUAGAUGUUGCCUAACAACCGAGAAGCCGAGGGCUCGACUCCCUCCCGGGACA